AAAGCAGUUCCUGCCGGGCAGGCUGGGUAGCCGGACUCCCAGCUGCGCCGUCUUCACGGAAGCGGUGCUGAUGCGGGACCUGGGGGACUGCGGUGCUGGGGACUGGCCAGUCCUACCGGGGGCGGGGCUUGUGGAAGACUGGGCGGGAUUUUGAAGACCUAGGUCUUGUGGAUGGUGAACUCACUUGGGGCGGGGAGGGAGGUGGGGCUACCCUGGGGUCUUGGGCAAAGUCCUCGCCUGGCCGGCUUCGCUACCCUUGUGCUUGCGUUGCCCACAAGCUUGUAGUCAGAAGAACUCGCCUGGGAGGGAUCGCUCCUGGGAGAUCCGAACGCGGGAGGGCCUGGAGCGCGGCGGCAGCUGGAUAGCAUUCGGGCCCAUCCGAAUAAGCGCUACUUGAGAGGCUGAGGCAGAAGGAUCGCUUGAGACCAGGAGUUUGAGGGUGCAGUGAACUAUGAUGGCGCCACCACACUCCAGCCUGGGAGACAGAGUGAGACCCUGUCUCUAAAAGAAAAAAGAAAAUUCAAGAUACAGAGCCAGACAGGAGCCUGGAUGGCCAUCUUUCUUCUGAUAGCAAUAAGCUGGAUGCUGGGAUAGAAGCCUGAUACCUCCUCCAACCCUAGUCCUUGGCCUCUAGUUUACUCGCCUGAGGCAAGGGUAGAGUGGAGGAAGAUUUAGGGAAAGCAAGUAGUCCGUUUUAUUGUUACGGACCAGAGAGGUUGGGGGUGCAGAUGAAACCAACAUCUGGUUGGCCGGGCACGGUGGCUCACACCUGUAAUCCCAGCACUUUGGGAGGCCGAGGCGGGCGGAUCAUGAAGUCAGGAGAUCGAGACCAUCCUAGCUAACACGGUGAAACCCCGUCUCUACUAAAAACACAAAAAAUUUGCCGGGCGUGGUGGCGGGAGCCUGUAGUCUCAGUUACUCAGGAGGCUGAGACAGGAGAAUGGCAUGAACCCGGGAGGCAGAGGUUGCAGUGAGCCGAGAUCGCGCCACUGCACUCCAGCCUGGGUGACAGAGCGAGACUCCAUCUCAAAAAAAAUAAAUAAAUAAAAAUAAAAAAAAUAAAAAAUAAAAAAUUCAUUUGCAGGAA
This is a long non-coding RNA of Homo sapiens (human), 1087 nucleotides long. Ensembl annotates it as zona pellucida like domain containing 2, pseudogene. Its record names the gene ZPLD2P. NCBI's taxonomy places the organism in Eukaryota, Metazoa, Chordata, Mammalia, Primates, Hominidae. The record is from Ensembl.